GUAGGUGAACCUGCGGAAGGAUCAUUAGUGAAUAUUAGAACAUGUAAUUUAUUACAGUUCGACCCUCCACUUUCUAACUCUGUGCAUUUUAUUAGCGGUGGUAAAAGUUCCAAGGAUUGAUGCGGUUUGCUCUCUUCUAAACAAUUACCACUGUGUCUUUUCAAUUUAUAACAUUAGUACAAGUAUGUAACGAAAUAUCGAAAUAAAAAAAAACUUUCAACAACGGAUCUCUUGGCUCUC
RNAcentral lists this unclassified non-coding RNA (240 nucleotides) under rhizosphere metagenome. Its description in RNAcentral is "partial ribosomal RNA internal transcribed spacer region". The record is from RNAcentral.